RNAcentral lists this ribosomal RNA (772 nucleotides) under uncultured bacterium. RNAcentral describes it as "bacterial SSU rRNA". It matches the Rfam family "Bacterial small subunit ribosomal RNA", at positions 103 to 860 of the family's 1533-position model. The record is from RNAcentral.
CGGGUGAGUAACACGUGGGAAAUCUGCCUAGGAGUGGGGGAUAACAUUCGGAAACGGAUGCUAAUACCGCAUAUCUUUCUGAACCGCAUGGUUCUUAAACGAAAGACGGCUUCGGCUGUCGCUCUUAGAUGAUCCCGCGGCGUAUUAGUUAGUUGGUGGGGUAAAGGCCUACCAAGACAAUGAUACGUAGCCGACCUGAGAGGGUGAUCGGCCACACUGGGACUGAGACACGGCCCAGACUCCUACGGGAGGCAGCAGUAGGGAAUCUUCCACAAUGGGUGCAAACCUGAUGGAGCAAUGCCGCGUGAAUGAAGAAGGUCUUCGGAUCGUAAAGUUCUGUUGUUAGAGAAGAAUAAGUCAAGGAGUAACUGUCUUGACUUUGACGGUACCUAACCAGAAAGUCACGGCUAACUACGUGCCAGCAGCCGCGGUAAUACGUAGGGGGCUAGCGUUAUCCGGAUUUACUGGGCGUAAAGGGAGCGCAGGCGGUUGGAAUAGUCUGAUGUGAAAGCCCACGGCUUAACCGUGGAAGGUCAUUGGAAACUGUCCAACUUGAAUACAGAAGAGGUAAGUGGAAUUCCAAGUGUAGCGGUGAAAUGCGUAGAUAUUUGGAGGAACACCAGUGGCGAAGGCGACUUACUGGUCUGUAAUUGACGCUGAGGCUCGAAAGCGUGGGUAGCAAACAGGAUUAGAUACCCUGGUAGUCCACGCCGUAAACGAUGAGUGCUAAGUGUUAGGGGGUUUCCGCCCCUUAGUGCUGGAGUUAACGCAU